This is a non-coding RNA of Phoenix dactylifera (date palm), 2217 nucleotides long. The record is from RefSeq and is a predicted model, not a curated record. Lineage: Eukaryota; Viridiplantae; Streptophyta; Magnoliopsida; Arecales; Arecaceae.
UACUUUACCGAUUUGAUUUUUAUUUGGAGGGAGUUAAUUUCCACUGCCCAAGUUUACACGGCUUGACUUCUCAGACGAAAUACCCGGCAGAAAAUUCGGAAGAAAUCCGACGAAAAAUAGCGGGAUUGGAACCGGAUGGCGGAGAACCAUGGUGGCGGUGGCGGAGAAGCGGCGGCCCCCAGGGCUGGCCCGCCGCGGCGGCCCAGCAUCUCCCUCCCGCCCCGCUCUGCCUACGAGUCCCUCUUCCAGGGCGGCGCCGCUGGCGGUGGGGGCCCGUCGGAGGUCAGCCCAGGCCCGCUGACGCUGGUGUCGAGCUUCUUCGCCGAGGACGCCGACUCGGGGUUCCAAUCCUUCACGCAGCUACUUCAGGGGGCGAUGAAUUCCCCCGUGGGAGCGGCGCCGCCCCGGCGGCCGAUUGGGCAGGAGGAGAAGGAGGCGGAGAGGGCUUCGAGGGGUGGUGUGGAGAGAAGAGAGGAGGGUGGGUUGGGGCGGCAGAACCGGCCUCCGGGCCUGGACAUAGCUCAGCCUCCUCAGAUCUUCGCGGUGCCGCCAGGACUCAGCCCAACUUGUUUGCUGGGUUCUCCUGCUCUCUUUUCACCCGGUGUGGGGAACUUUGGAAUGUCCCAUCAACAGGCGCUGGCCCAAGUCACAGCCCAGGCUGCCCAGUUUCAGUUUAAAGUGCUCAAUCAUGCUGAAUAUCCAUCUUGCCUUUCAGUGGCAACAGCUACAUCCUUGGCACAAGACAAUGUGACACCAAUCCAAGAAAUGUCGACUCUGACAUCAAACACCGAUAAUAACACCUUGAAAUCCACAGAGGGUCCUCAUUCUGAUCGGAGAUCUCAACCUACAGCCGUUAUUGUUGAUAAACCUGCUGAUGAUGGCUAUAAUUGGAGAAAAUAUGGACAGAAGAUGGUGAAGGGCAGUGAAUAUCCUCGUAGCUACUACAGAUGUACGCAUCCAAACUGUCCAGUUAAGAAAAAGGUGGAGCACUCCCUUGAUGGCCAAAUAACUGAGAUAAUCUAUAAGGGUCAACACAAUCAUCGGCAGCCCCAACCAAAUAAGCAUGCCAAGGAAGGUGGUACUUUGCCAAGUGGGUCUAAUGAAUUUAACGGGAAUGCUGGUAUUCCUGCUAACUCUGAACCAGGUUCCCUGGUUUACCCUGGAAACUUCAGCAGAUCAAAUGAGACUAUGGCUGCUCCUUCAGCAUCUAAGGGAGAUUAUGGAACAGCUGAACAAUUAUCUGGUGCUAGCGACAGUGAAGAAGCGGGCAAUGUUGAACUGAGAACAGAUGAAGGUGGUGAUGACGACCCUGAUUCUAAAAGAAGGAACAUAUCAGCUUCUUCACAAAGGACAGUGGCAGAACCUAGGAUCAUUGUUCAGACAACAAGUGAGGUUGAUCUUCUGGAUGAUGGUUAUAGGUGGCGCAAGUAUGGGCAGAAAGUGGUAAAAGGAAAUCCUCACCCAAGGGAUCUAAAAUCUUCAUGCUGAUAAAGAUGCAAAAAGAAGAGGCUUUGUGGUGUUUCAAUGAGUGAACAAUGGUUGGACUUGCCUUCUAAAUCCUUCUGGCAGUCAUCGAUAGCUCUGUACCAUUCUAUUGGUAUGCCACAGCUCUGGGUGCAGACAUGAAUGCAAAUCUGGACCACUGAAUUAAUGGACUAAGCGACUUGGAUGUCCAGGCAUUUGAUGGAGAUCUUUAUCAGAAUAUCAGAUGACGGUAAAAUUUUCUUGCGAGCACCAUGGAGUUUCCAUCAGUAGCACACGUCCUGGAAGCCUGGUUGACAGAAGUCCUGGUAGGUGCAACAUUAAUCCUGGGGUAGUUCAGCCAACGGACACUUGAAGGUCCUUGUGGAGGUCUCAGGAAGAACAUUUUCCAAGUUAUAUGACCUAGGAUUCUUGCUCUUAUGGUGUUUCAACCCCUUGAUUGGAUUUUCUGCACUCCAGCUACGUGGGAAAGGAAAAUGGUGGCGAAAAGAAAAAGGCAAAGGUGAUUGAAAAGCUUCUUGGCAAAAGGCUGAGGCUAAAGAGUAAGGAGUGAAGAGCUAAGGUGCAAAGAGCAGUUCCCUUCUCUCGUUAAUUGUCAUGCUUUACUUUCUGCAUGAGAUCUUUGCGGUCUUCUUUUCAUUAAUGUUGUCAAAGUUGAAAAUUAAGAUGCAGACUUGAUUACUUCGGCAAGUCAGUUUUUACAUUAAAUAAGUACAACAGGGAGCUUAUGAGCAA